RNAcentral lists this long non-coding RNA (9321 nucleotides) under Marmota monax (woodchuck). The record is from RNAcentral. Lineage: Eukaryota; Metazoa; Chordata; Mammalia; Rodentia; Sciuridae.
AUUCAGUAAGAAAAUUUGAAAACAUGAAUAUAGGAUAUAAUUAUCAUAUCAGAGUAAUUAGUGUUUUUUUUUUCUUUUUUGGUAUUAGGAGUUGAAACCAGGGCCACUGAGAUACACUCCGAUCCCUUAUUUGUUUUUGAGACAUGGUCCAGCUAAGUUGCCAGGCUGGCCUUGAGUUUGGUAUCUUUGUGCCUCAACCUCCUGAUUAGCUGGAUUGUAAGCAUGUGCUAAUAUAUCUGGCAGAAUAAUUAGCAUUUCUGUCUCCAGUAUUUAUAAUUUCUUUGUUUUGGAGGCGUUUGAAAUAUUUUCUUCAAGUUCUUUAUUAUAAAAUAUAUAUUAAACUUGUUAACUAUAGUUACUGUCUUAGCUUUACAUUGCUGUGACAAAAAUACCUGACAAAAACAACCUAGCAGAGUGAAAUUUUAUUUUGGCUCACAAGUCCAAAGGUUCAGUUUGUCUUUGGCUGAGUCCACUGCUUUGAUCCCCAAGAUGAGGUGGAGUAUCACGACCAGAAUGCCCCCAGAAGAAAACUGCUCAGCUUAUGCAGCCAUCAGGAAAUAGAAAAGGAGAAGAUGGAAGGGGGAACACAGUGAAGAUGAAAACUUCCAAGCCACACCCCCAGUGACUCCCCUCUUCUAGCUAUACCCCAUCUGCUUACAGUUAUUAUCCAGUCAGUCCAUUCAAACUAAGGGGGACUGAUUUGGAUUACAGGUCUCCUAAUCUAAUCGUUUCACCUCUUAUUAUUCCUGCAGGGACACAGGAGUUUUGGGGGACACCUCAUAUCCAUACUAUAACAAUAACCCUACUGGGCUGUAGAACACUAUCUCUUCCCAUCCAUGUUGACAUAAAUCACAUGAUUUUACCUUUUUUUAUGGAUGUAAAAAAGUAUACACACACAGAGUCAUGUACACACCACAUUUUCUUCAUCUAACUUCUGAUGGACGACUCAUUUGAUUGCAUAUGUUGGAUCUUCUGAAUAGUACUAGAAUGAUCAUGAGAAUAUAGGAGUCUCUUUGAUGCAGUGAUUUUUAUUUCCUUUGGAUCUGACUUCAUUAGUAUCUUCUAAUGGUAGUUCUCUAUGAGAAUAGUGUUACAAUAGUCUGUUUUCUUAGAAACUUUGUAAAAUUAGUCACUACAGAGAUUAGAAGUUGUAAAUAAUAUGGAUAUAUUCAGAUCAAGAUUAGAAGUUGUAAAUAAUAUGGAUAUAUUCAGGACAAGUCAGUUAUUUCCCAUAAUAACGACAGCUGAAUAAUAUAUCCAAACUUGAAACAAAGAAACUUACUUACUUUUACAUUGACUUGAAUUGAAUAAAUUCGUCCCUUUUCUGAGAAUAAGUUACUGCAAUUAUUUUGUAGGUUGAUCUUGUAAUUUGUGGUUAACUUAUCUAUUGGUAAAACUCUCUUUAAUGAACUUGCCUAGACACUGAAUUCAAAUUAUAUAGACCAAUUAGGCAUUUUAUCUGCCAAGUGUCUUGUGGCCCAGAGUGCUAUUGGAGCAAAAAUAACAAAUGCAUCCAUUAGAAAUUGUUGAAGUCAUAAUGACACUUUCAUAUAAGCCUUGUUAUUUAAUUUGUGUGAGAUGAUUACAUGGCAAAAUUUAGAAAUGUAGUUUGAAGAGGUUGUAGACUUUUCUUUACUUUAUGAGGAAAAUGAAAACAUUAAGGAAUCACCAGAGGACAUAGUGUCCUUUUUUUCCUGCCCUCUGUCACAAAGGGCUGACACAAUUGGUAUAAUUAAUUUUACCAAUUAAUUAAUUUUUGUUUCAUUGGUAUACUCUAUCAAAAUUAUUGAUAGAAUUAAUACAUGAAUGAAUAGUAGGUGUAAGAAUUUUGCCCUCUAGUGAAAUGAAGGCCAAGUUUGCCCUUCAGCUUUACCCUGUUUUAUCCUAUUCUUUGUUAGGGGUUAGGUCAAGAAUCAGGUCUUUUUUAUUGUACCAUGAUGCUAGAAUAAAAAAAGUGGGGAAAAUUGCAUGGUUUUUAAGUUGCCUAUUUCAUCAAUUAAAAAGGUAUGCUUCCAGAUUUCUAGUUGGGUUUUUUUUUGAAAUGGAAAUAAUCUCUUAAGGUGUUGUCCAUUUUAUUGGGUGUCUCAAAUUCCUUAAAGUUUUUCUCACUGGAGAAUAAAUCUAUAGGAUGUUGUAUAACAUGGGUUCAUUUGAAGUUUUCCAUUGUGAAAGAUCUUAAUUAGAUAUAUCAAGGGGGCAUUGCUAUUGGAAAGCAUAUGGCAGAGUUUAUGUGUUAGUGGGUAAGAAUAAUUAAUUGACCAUAUAAAAAUGAAUGAAAAUGUAUAUGUAAUUCUGUGACCUGAAAACUAUAUAAUAUGAAAAUGAUUACAUUUUAGUAUAAAUAAAUUAAAAAUUUAUUCCUAAAAUGGGAAAAAAAUUGAGGAUAAUGUCAUUAUAGAUUUAUUAAUACAUAUUUCUUAAAAUGAGUUUAUUCUAUUUCACUGUUAAUUCUGAAGAGCUGAGGCAAAAAGAUGGAUACAAAUAAGGAUUUCCUUAGAAAUUUUAUGCAUUGCAGAUACUGUUCAUGCUCCAUUAUAUGACUGUUCUGGUACUGCUUCUAUAGCUGAAGGCUGAAGGCUUUGUCAUCUAAACCAAUUUACUUUUUUUUAACCCAAUUCCCUUGCUUCCAGAGGUUCUUCAAUAUAUCUUUUGGGUGUGGCAGUUGUGAAAACAUGAUGGAACUCAUUCUUUUUUUUUUUUUUUUAUAAAUCUGAAGUUGGCCUUUUUAAAAGUGUUAGAGAAGACACAAAUGACGUCAGUUGAAAAUAUUUAGAGCAUAUUAUACAACAAUAAAAAUGGAAACUUCCCAUUGUUAGGCACUGGGCAAAAGAUGUUUUAUAAUUUUUAUUGGUUCAUGUUAACUAUAAUGAGGGGAUCAAUUAUGCUGUACAUGCACAACACAAAAUUUGGUCUAUUUAUUCUCCUGGGUUCAUAAAAUUUGUUGCAUACCUUUAAUUGUAUUCUUCUACACCUUAGGCAAACAAAAAAGCCAAAAGUAUUUGUUUUUCCUUACAAUGAUCUUUGCAAUUAAAACCUUACAUAUGUAAUACUUGCAGGCAUAUACAGCAAAUAUAUUCUUUUUUCCCUCUUGUUAGUAUUGUAAAACAUUUCUAAAUCUUCAAAUUUUAUUAUUUUUUAGGAAAUAAUAAGCUUAUGAGUCUAGGGAAAUACUUGGGAGAAUUGUGGUGGCAUAAUAGUAUUUCAGUGCAGAUAUAAUAAUUGAAUGACUAAUGUGUAUGAGUUUCUUGUAUUCUACAAGAGUCAGAAUGAAAUUAAUCAUGUAUUACUUUUCAUUCUUUUUAUUUGUAUUGUUUUAAUCUUUCCUGAAAUCUAAUUAGAGGAACACAAGCACAUUGAUUGUUAAUGAGUUUAUUAGGAUGUUUUAAAAAUGGUUUCUUUGAUAAAAUAGCUGUUUUCCUAGGGGAAAUUUCCAAAAACACAUUUGGUAAAUAUAGUCUUAAAUGUUUUAGUAUGGAAUAAAUUUUAUGUUCAUUUUUUUCAGUGUUUUAAGAGUAAUAAAGAAGGAGAUUAAAAAUGCUUUAUAUAUCAAUUAGAAGCAUUUUUAAAGUACAUUUGAGAAUUCACUCUAUGCAGCGUCUCAAUGUAACUGUUUUCUGACAUUUUCUUGGUUAAAUAUAGAGAUUGUUAGCCAUGAGUUUGAACUAUAUAGAAAGAUGACUAAAGAAAAGACUACCUUUGAAUGAUGUAAAUUGAAUUCCUUUGAUUAGACUUUGGUAUUAAGAAUUUAGUAUUCUUUUCCCAGGAAUACUACAUGCACAGAACUGUUAAAUGCAGAACUCUAUUUAUCUGCUUAUUUAUUUAUUUAUUUAUUUAUUAGUUGUUGAUGGACCUUUAUUUUAUUUCCUUACUUAUAUGUAGUGCUGGGGAUCAAACCCAGUGCCUCACACAUAUGAGGCAAGUGCUCUACUGCUGAGCUAUAACUCCUGUCCCAUGAGCUACAACUCCAGCCCCUGGAAUUUUGUUAAGGCUGCUAUAUGUGUAGAACUCAUGGGUAUAUCUAUGUUUUGCAAAUGUCUCACUGUUAAAUGUCUAUGAUAUGAGCUUUCCUUUUCAUGAUGAAGUUGCAGAAGAGAUCAACCUUUAUGAACACUAACAUUGACAACCAGGUGGGCUUUGUAUGACAGAGGUAUGUGUAUGCCACUCAAAACUGUUAGGGAAUAUUUCUAAUAAGAAAAAUGUCUGAUACUUUGCAUUUGAGGAAUGAUUAUGAUUCUGUUUAUUGCUUAGAGGGAUUGCUAAACUACUUUAAAUUUAGCAAAUUUAAGAUAUGGAUUUAGUAUAUAAGGAUGGAGUUUUAGCAGCUGGGCCUAUGUUCAGAGAUGGUUUUUAUAUGACUUCCAUGUGAAAAGAUUGAAAGAGUCAUUGGAUCAUUGCCCUCAAUUUUUAGAUUUUGGUAUAUGAUAGGAAAUGUUCUUAUAAUAUAUGUAGCAUAUAUAACUAUAUAUCUACCUGUUAUGGAUAUGAGUGAUACACACAUAUAUUCAUGUCAUAUAUACAUGGUAUAUAUGCAAGUUUUGGUUUACAUUUUUUUUUGUUUUCAGUUGUUAUGUACAUGUUCACAUGUUGUUUACAUUUGUAGAUGUGGAGAAUUUUCUGUCACAUUUUGUGAAUAUAUUUUGCAUAAAAUAAAUAGGAUAAAUAAAAAAAUAAAAUAAAUUAUAGGACAGAAAGUGUUUUUUUGUUAAUUGAAAUGCAAUUAACAAAAUGCAAAAACCCAAGCCUCUAUUUAGUAGAAUUUUUACACAGAUAUGUAUAUAUAGUUAGUACGUUUUAAAACAUGUUUCAAGAAAUGUAUGACUUCUGAAAUCCUUCUUGCAAUUAAUCAAUCCAUAUUUCUGUGUUACGAAUCAUUAUUUGUGAUUAGAGUCAUUUUGUAAAAUGAUUCAUUACCUUUGCUCUUAACUUUUUUUUGCCUUUUUGUCUGUGAGGAGGCAUGAACACACUGUGUUGAGCUAGAAUUAACUAAAUGUCAGAAUCACAUCUGUGUGUUCAUGUGUGUGCACGCAUGAAUGUGUAGUAUGUGGAUGUGAGAGUAUAUACAAAAAGUAUACAUUUAUAUGUUUUGAACAUUUUCCCACAGAAUGGCAUUGCUGAUGCAUGUACAUUUUGGAAAAUAACCUUUUUAAAUUAAUACAGCCAUGUAAUUUUGUACACAUUAAAAUUUAUUGUUGGAAGGUAUGUGGAAAGGAUGGAUUUUUUUAUGAUCACAGUUUCAUGUACAUGUACAAUCCUUUUGCUUACUUCUGUUUUUGUUUUGGUAGAGAUGGUGAACAUUUAUAUAUUGCAACCAUUACUUUGUUAAACUGUUUAACUAGUUGAAAUAUAAAUAAUUAUAAAUGAUUUUAACAGCAUUAGGUGGUUAGCUUUGGGGGUGUUUAUUAAACAUCUGUAAUAGUUGCUUUAUAAUAUUUCAGCUUUUUUAGUUAGAUGCAUGUGAGUUGAUGAGAAUUAGAAAAAUAAGAAAUAUUUUUCUUUUAAUGGUAAAGUAUUAUUUUUACCUUUUGGAAAAACGUGAAUAUAUUUCUGUGACUGUACAAAUUACUUGUACAUUACAUUGACAAAAGCUUCUGUGCUUUCAUGUUAUUAGUACAUAUAUUGUCAUGUUAGAGAAGAUAGUGGUAUUUUACCACAUUUACAAGUAAAAUUAGAUUAUCAUUCCAGGGUGUCCAUUUAAUGUAAAUACAAUGUGUCUAUGUAACAGAUAAGUAGACAUGUCUUAUUUUGCUAAACUUACGUUCGUGAUGCAAUUCUUUCUUUUUACAUGUUUUAUAGAAUUUCUAAAUUAUGUGGUUCUUUUUUUUACUACAUGGCAAAAAAAACCACAACUUUAUAAAUAAUGGGGAAAUAUUUUUUUUUUAUUUCAAACAUGUAUUUCUAGCGUCUCACAAGUAUAAAUUUUGUAAAUCCAUAAAAUUAGUAGUGCUAUGGUCAUUUUUGGUUAAUGUGGCAGUUAAAUUGGUUAUUCAUAAGUAGCUCUUAGAGCUAGAAAAAUUUAUCAUAUAUUAAUAUAGAUGUUAGAAGGAGAAAAUAAGAAAAUAGGAAGACACUAUGCAAUUAACUCCAUUUCCAUGGAAGUCUACAGUUUGCCAUGUAUGAAUUGCAUAUUUAAAAAUACUCAGAUGAAAUAACAGUUAAAUCCAGUCGUCUUUUCUGGAUGUUCCAAGCUUCCUUAUAUCUUUUUUCUCCUUUGCUGUCAAUAUUCAAGAUAUAAAUGAUUAAAGAGAGUUUGUACUACCUCUUGGAACUAUACAAUGUUCUGUAUGUGUUCCCUUGGUUGCAUGACAAUAUUCAAGACAACUUUGUAAAUAAUGGUAAAGCCAAAAUUUUAAUUUUCAACAUCUAGUUGUCCUUCUAGAUGUAUAGAGUCUCACAAAGUAUAAUUUUGUAAAUAAGUCAUUGUAAAAUUUCAUGAUUUGAUUGUUUUUUUGAAAUUUUUUGCUAAUGAAAUAAAGUUGUGGGUUUUAUUAAAUAUCUGUUUAUUGAGUUAUGGGAAGGAAAAGGUUAAAAUAUGUGUAUUUUAAGCUUUUGAGUUUCCAUCAAAAGAAAAAAAAUACAUUUUAACCAUAGUUAUUUGCUUGUAUUAUAUACUUAAAACUUCAUAAGUUUGUAGUUGUAUUUGCUACAUUUUAAUAGUAUUUUUAUAAUCAUUGUAGAAAAUGCCUUUUAUAAGAAAAAUUUCCUUCUACCUCUUUGACUUAAUAUAGUAUUAUAUGUUUUUGGACUGCAUGACAAAAUUCAAGACAACUUUGUAAAUACCAGUUACCCUUGUCAUUUGAAAAUAACUAGUUUUGCCAGGUGCUCUGGGUCUCAAGAAAGUAUAAAUUUGUAAAUAUUUCAUUGUAAAACUCCAUAGUUAAAUUGAUUGCUGUAAAUGCUUUUACAGUCCAUUGGUUAAUUAAUAUAAAGACAAACAUUUUGCUGUUUUGUGAGAGAGCAAUAGUUAAAUUGUCUGUAUCUCCUCACUGAUCAGGAUCAUUGCUGUUUGUGUGCAUUAUAUAUUUAAACAAUUACCCUGGCAUACAGUUUGACCUCAGGUACCAAGUAGAAGAUAUGAGAAGGAAAUUCCCAUUUUAAAAAAGAGACAGAGAGUUAAAAAGAUUGGUACAAUUAUUGUUACCUGGCUGUAUUUAUUCUCUGCAAAUUUACUUGCAUGUACAUGCAUUUAAAAUCAUGUUUUAGUUAAAUAGUUGGGAUAUUUCUCAUUCCAGCUUUUCUCAUUUGUUUGUUUAAUGAUUUAUAUUUUAUUUUACUUUAAUUUUUAUAUUUUUGCUUGGGAUUGUUCCGAGAGACUCAUGAAUGAUAUAGGCUUGUGCUCUGCCACUACGCUAUAUCCCCAGGCCUUUUUAUUUUACAAAUGAUGAAACUUUUAUUUUUUAAGCUUGAACAUAUUUCUAGAAUCCAAUUUAUUAUUAUUUCUAACUAUAAUUUUAUAGUAAUACUAAGCUCUAUUACUUUGAAUUCCAAAUCUGUUUCCAUGUUUGUAUAUCCCUGUGAGAACAAAACAACAAUAAUUAUGAAUAGUUUGGUUUUUCUGAUAUUAUUUUUGAAAUUUUCUUGUGACCUAUAUAUAAUUCAUGUAUGUGAUAAUCAAAGACAAGUCAUGUGUUACCUGUUACAUAAAGAAGGAUUUUUUUAAAUAAAAAUUCUGGUGUUGAUCAAAGUAUAAAUCCUCAUUUUUUGAAUAGAAUUUGGUAUAGAUCAUCAAAUUCUGUGGGUAUAAAAUAUUUUAAAUGUAAUAAUUGGCUAUUGGAAUAGCCAAUUCCAAAUGUUGGAAUACUUAAACAUUUGCUAGGAGGAAAGUAUUAUGUGUUUACUUUAAAAACAUAAUGUAAACAACUGAAAUAUCAACCAGUGAAAGAAAGAUUGUAUUUAUUAUAGCUUACUCAACAUCAAUGUAACUUUUGCACAGAAAUAUUUCAAUAUUGAUGUAGGUUUUGAAGUAUUUUGAGUUGAACAGAUAUUGAAUAAUUGUUUGUUAUAGAUUUGAAUGCUUAUGCCUCUUUGUCCUAGCUGAAGUAUUAAUGGUUAACUAUAAAAUAUUUAUAACAUUUUGGAAAUGAGAUUUUUAUAGUGAGGUAAUAUUUCCUAUUGUUAAAAUGUUAUUUUAUAAUUCUGUUGGCAUUUUUAUAUAUGAGUUAAAAUUCAAAAGAUGCAUCCACAGUUGUAAAUUGCUACGUGAAAAAAAUCUAAAAUGAAUAUGUCUAAUGGAAAUAGAAAAAUUGUCUGGAAGAAUAAGGUAAAAACUUACCAGUCCUCUGUAGAGAGAUGAGAAUAGAAGGAGUGUUUCUUUUACCUUCUUUUGGUUUUUAUAAAGGUAUUAAAAUAUGAACAACUAAACAAGAAAGAAGUGUUAAGGAGACAGUUUGUACGUAUUUUCAUUCUUGCAACUCACCAUCGUUGGAGCAUUUGGUUGUCAUAUCCAGCUUUGUCUUCCCAGAGGCCUUUGUGAAUGAUUUUUUUCAAUGAUUUUAUGAAGAGUAUGCAAUUUAAGAGAAUAAAUAGUAUUGGAUUAUCCAAGAAAAGAAGGAAGAAGAUGGAAUUAUAGGUAGGUGCCAAGCAGUUGUAUUUUGAUAAACAAAUGAGUAAAAAAUAGAACUAAAAAUUCUGUAAAGUGAGUGAAUUUUAAUAACAAGAUCAUAUUUACAGGGACUAAUUAGAGAUAUUGUAGAGAUGUUGCAUUUGAUGUAAAAGCAUGUAACCACAUGCUUUACCACUGAACCUUGUUUCUAGGCUUCUUAUUUAAUUUUGAUUUGAAUGAAGAAUGGAUUGUUUGUUUGCUUGUUUUUUCCUUUGGUUCAUUGUGCUGAAAGAUUUCAAAUAAGAUUUUAGUAUUUUAUAGAUCACACAAAAUUAGCAGGGGAAAUAUUUGAAUAUUUUUGGCAUUUGUGCUAACCAUGUUGGCUAAAAUAGAAAGUGUUUUUUGCAAUUGUGUUUGCUGAUUGAAUAUGCCUGAUCAACAUGAUGUUAUCCUGAUUUAUAUGUUCUUAUGCUUGGUUCAUAUCUAUCCAUUGCUCAUUGAAUGUUUUAUUUUUCAGGUAUUCACAAUGAGAGAUAUAUUGAAGGUAACUUGAGUACAGCUGAUGAAAUCAUCAGGAAUAUCUUGCUUUGGAGUCCUUAAUUUUUACAUCUUAACUGCAAAGCAUAGGUAAGAAGAUUCUGGUGCCAUUUUCAGGUGAGACAUUAAAUAAGCUCAGGAAACUAGUUCUGAUAUACACACUUUCCUGUGGAAUUUUUUUUUAAUUCUGAUUUGUUACACAUGAUGGCAGAAUGCAAUUCAUUUCAUAUUAUAAAUAUAGAGCA